UGGGGAAUAUUGGACAAUGGGCGAAAGCCUGAUCCAGCCAUGCCGCGUGUGUGAAGAAGGUCUUCGGAUUGUAAAGCACUUUAAGUUGGGAGGAAGGGCAGUAAGCGAAUACCUUGCUGUUUUGACGUUACCGACAGAAUAAGCACCGGCUAACUCUGUGCCAGCAGCCGCGGUAAUACAGAGGGUGCAAGCGUUAAUCGGAAUUACUGGGCGUAAAGCGCGCGUCGGUGGUUCGUUAAGUUGAAUGUGAAAGCCCCGGGCUCAACCUGGGAACUGCAUCCAAAACUGGCGAGCUAGAGUAGGGCAGAGGGUGGUGGAAUUUCCUGUGUAGCGGUGAAAUGCGUAGAUAUAGGAAGGAACACCAGUGGCGAAGGCGACCACCUGGGCUCAUACUGACACUGAGGUGCGAAAGCGUGGGGAGCAAACAGG
Molecule: ribosomal RNA, 429 nt
Filed under: Pseudomonadota bacterium
Lineage: Bacteria; Pseudomonadati; Pseudomonadota
Description: Proteobacteria bacterium partial 16S ribosomal RNA
Rfam family: Bacterial small subunit ribosomal RNA
Source: RNAcentral